Molecule: unclassified non-coding RNA, 337 nt
Filed under: soil metagenome
Description: partial contains 5.8S ribosomal RNA, internal transcribed spacer 2, and large subunit ribosomal RNA
Rfam family: 5.8S ribosomal RNA (bases 2-121)
Source: RNAcentral
GGAUGAAGAACGCAGCGAAAUGCGAUAAGUAAUGUGAAUUGCAGAAUUCAGUGAAUCAUCGAAUCUUUGAACGCACAUUGCGCCUCUUGGUAUUCCGAGAGGCACACCUGUUCGAGCGCCAUUUCUACCUCAAGCCUAGCUUGGUGAUGGGCACCGCCGCGAUGGCGAGCCCGAAACGCGUGUGAGCGCCGUGGUCCCGGUUUCGAGCGUAGCAAGAGUAGUCCUCCCUCGCUCGGAGCCCGCCAGGGUCGCCGUCAAACCGUAAAACUUUUUCACAGGUUGGCCUCGGAUCAGGUGGGGAUACCCGCUGAACUUAAGCAUAUCAAUAAGCGGAGGA